UUUUAUGGAGAGUUUGAUCCUGGCUCAGGACGAACGCUGGCUGCGUGCUUAACACAUGCAAGUCGAACGCUGAAGCCUGGUGCUUGCACCGGGUGGAUGAGUGGCGAACGGGUGAGUAACACGUGAGUAACCUGCCCCUGACUUCGGGAUAAGCCCGGGAAACUGGGUCUAAUACCGGAUACGACCGUCGGACGCAUGUCUGGUGGUGGAAAGUUUUUUCGGUUGGGGAUGGGCUCGCGGCCUAUCAGUUUGUUGGUGAGGUAAUGGCUCACCAAGACGACGACGGGUAGCCGGCCUGAGAGGGCGACCGGCCACACUGGGACUGAGACA
Molecule: ribosomal RNA, 330 nt
Filed under: Burkholderia multivorans
Lineage: Bacteria; Pseudomonadati; Pseudomonadota; Betaproteobacteria; Burkholderiales; Burkholderiaceae
Description: bacterial SSU rRNA
Rfam family: Bacterial small subunit ribosomal RNA
Source: RNAcentral